GGUCCAUGAGGACGUCCCCACAAUGCGUGAAUGUUUUUCUUUAACAUUUUUAAUUAACUGGUCGUCCUCAUACCCUGUCCGGUAUGAGUGCCAAAUUACUAAAUCUCGAUACUCCGUCUAGUAUGAGGGUGAAACGGGCCGUCCACAUACCCCGUCUAGUAUGAGGGUGAAACGGGCCGUCCACAUACCCCGUCUGGUAUGAGCGCUAAAUUACCAAAACCUUGAU
Molecule: long non-coding RNA, 226 nt
Filed under: Carica papaya (papaya)
Lineage: Eukaryota; Viridiplantae; Streptophyta; Magnoliopsida; Brassicales; Caricaceae
Description: long non-coding RNA (CPAP_LNC009172)
Source: RNAcentral